AGUGAACGCUGGCGGUAGGCCUAACACAUGCAAGUCGAACGGCAGCACAGUAAGAGCUUGCUCUUACGGGUGGCGAGUGGCGGACGGGUGAGGAAUACAUCGGAAUCUACUUUUUCGUGGGGGAUAACGUAGGGAAACUUACGCUAAUACCGCAUACGACCUACGGGUGAAAGCAGGGGAUCUUCGGACCUUGCGCGAUUGAAUGAGCCGAUGUCGGAUUAGCUAGUUGGCGGGGUAAAGGCCCACCAAGGCGACGAUCCGUAGCUGGUCUGAGAGGAUGAUCAGCCACACUGGAACUGAGACACGGUCCAGACUCCUACGGGAGGCAGCAGUGGGGAAUAUUGGACAAUGGGCGCAAGCCUGAUCCAGCCAUACCGCGUGGGUGAAGAAGGCCUUCGGGUUGUAAAGCCCUUUCGUUGGGAAAGAAAAGCAGCAGGUUAAUACCCCGCUGUUCUGACGGUACCCAAAGAAUAAGCACCGGCUAACCUCGUG
RNAcentral lists this ribosomal RNA (492 nucleotides) under uncultured bacterium. RNAcentral describes it as "partial 16S ribosomal RNA". It matches the Rfam family "Bacterial small subunit ribosomal RNA", at positions 29 to 507 of the family's 1533-position model. The record is from RNAcentral.